This 301-nucleotide ribosomal RNA is filed under the name uncultured bacterium. Its description in RNAcentral is "partial 16S ribosomal RNA". It matches the Rfam family "Bacterial small subunit ribosomal RNA", at positions 509 to 809 of the family's 1533-position model. The record is from RNAcentral.
CAGCCGCCGCGGUAAUACGAAGGGUGCAAGCGUUACUCGGAAUUACUGGGCGUAAAGCGUGCGUAGGUGGUGGUUUAAGUCCGUUGUGAAAGCCCUGGGCUCAACCUGGGAAUUGCAGUGGAUACUGGGUCACUAGAGUGUGGUAGAGGAUAGUGGAAUUUCCGGUGUAGAAGUGAAAUGCGUAGAGAUCGGAAGGAACAUCUGUGGCGAAGGCGACUAUCUGGGCCAACACUGACACUGAGGCACGAAAGCGUGGAGAGCAAACAGGAUUAGAGACCCCCGUAGUCCCUGUCUCUUAUAA